CUGUCUUUACGACAGUUAUUUAGUUUAUAAUAUUUUCGCUUAGUAAUUCAUUCAAUAGUAUUUUCUAGUUAGAAUUAGAAGUGUUUAAAGUGUAUUCAUUGCAUGUAAAAUAUAUCGGCAUGCGAUGACGUCACAUCCGGUUUCGCCGCGUCUUGUGGGAAAACACCGGUUUGAAAUUAGCGCGAGGGUGGGGGCUUUCCACGAGGCUCACCUGAGCACAAGCAGUUUUGCAGGCAUGAGAAAUCACAGUGAGAGCAACGCUGUAAGUUAAUAGAUAAUCGAUAUAUUGAACUAAGAUGUUAAUGCUGAUCCUGUUAGAAGUAACGACGGUAGAUAAUGUUUAUGCUUUCGUUAGUUAAAGAGUCGCGGAUAGUUUGCAUGGAAGUGUAUUUAAAGUAGUCAAUGGAGCAGGUAAACUCUCCCUGUAUACUGCACCUUAGUGUAAUGUAGUUAUAGUCACCUUUGCAAGUAUUUACACUUGAAAUGUGAUAUUAAGGAAGGAACAAAUACUGUAUCAAUCUUGUAUUGUUUUAUCAACAGUUUUCACCAUAUGUUAAUGUGAAGAGUGAACAGUAAAUGGUUAAUCUUACUGCGAUCUGGUUCUUAUUAACUGUGGUUUAUCCGGACGUUAAAUUCGGCGUUUCGUUACACCCGAAGGAGAACGUUACAGUGAAAAAGCGGCAUUAUCAGGUGUUUCAAGUGCUGCAAUGUCAGCUCAAUCCAGCAUCAAGUCGACGCCGCCCAGCGACAGGGGCAGUAAACCGACAUCAAGUAAGCCCACCCAGGCGUUAUCAGGUGUUCCAAGUGCUGCAAUGUCAGCUCGAUCCGGGAUCAAGUCGAUGGCGCCUUGCGACAAGGGCAGUAGAACAACAUCAAGUAAGUCCUCACAGGCAAGAGCCAAGGCAGAAGCCGCCAAGAUGCGACUGCAUUACGCCAAACAAGAAGCAGUUUUGAAAAUGAAACAGGCCACCAGAGAAGUCGAAAUCCGGAAAGAAAAGGCCGCCAGAGAAGCCGAAAGGGCCGCCAGACAAAGAGAAGAGGCUGCCAGAGAAGCCGAAAUCCAGAAAGAAAGGGCCGCCAGACAAAGAGAAGAGGCUGCCAGAGAAGCCGAAAUCCAGAAAGAAAGGGCCGCCAGAGAAGCCGAAGAGGCUGCCAGACAAAGAGAAGAGGCUGCCAGAGAAGCCGAAACCCAGUUGGAAAUGACAAAAAUAUCGACAGAGUUGCAUGUGCUGCAGCUAGAAAGAGAAGGAGAAGCUGCCAUGGCGGAAGCAAAGUACAUAGAACAAGCUGAAGGGUCGCGUGAUCUGACCGAAGUAAGAUCUACUUUAGAAAGGACCAGACUGGAACGCACAAGCGACUAUGUACAAUAUCAAAUAGACAGGCAGGCUCGUCUCCCCUCUCCAUACGUAUUCGAUAACUUCCCCAGCUACGAGGAACCUCAGAGAGUCACGAUUGCAUCACAUCCAUACGAGGAAGGAAAUUUACCCUCACGGCUCCGUGAUGAAGUCAAGAAUGAAAGAACCGACAACGCUCCUUCACCCCCACAACAGGACGGCGGGGAGGGAGAGGUUCACUCCAGGACAACAAUUGUCGGCUCGAACUGUACAGAAGUUUGCGGUCAAACUCAGUCAAGCCGUUCUUGUUCCGAGAUCUGCCUCACUGAGGUGUACCCUAAAGAAGCACAACAAGACAUUACCAAGUGUAAAGCAACCGAUGAGACGCUAGGCCAGUCAGUCUUCGCUCUAACGAAGUAUGACAACAAACUUGCACAAUCAGCUCAAGAUACCAUUUCUUUAAAAAUCAAAGACACCAAGGUCUUCAGAGAUGAAGCAAAUAAUGGGGUUGCCCCAUUGCCAAUCAGAGAACCACGCCAGCGCUCACCAGAUAACAAAGAGCAGGCAGUCAAACGGUUCACGUCCUUACGGAAAACCUGGAAAAGGAAACCUGAGAUACAGCAACGCACCCGAUUGGCCCACGAGGUACUGUGCACCCUAAUGGCAGAGGUCACAGCCAUUAUAAACGCACAAUCACUCCUACCUGUGUCUUCUGACCCAGAAAACCCCUUUAUACUUUCGCCAUCAAUGCUCCUUAUGCAGAAGGCAGGAGCACCUCCUCCACCAGGAGACUUCUCAGACAAGAAUUUGUACACAAGGCAAUGGAGACAAGUCCAGGCUCUGGCAAAUCAGUUCUGGCCUCGCUGGAGACAAAAAUAUCUACCUUUGUUGCAACAGAGACAAAAGUGGACAGAACCCCGAAGGAAUCUUCAAGUUGAAGACUUAGUCCUGCUCAGGGACAAGCAAGCCACCCGCAACAGCUGGCCAAUGGCCAGAAUCACUGCUACAUUCCCUAGCGAGGAUGGACAUGUCAGGAAGAUCGAAUUGAAGACUACCGACCAAGGCGAUGUGAAAAUUUACCAAGGGCCAGUUACAGAAGUUAUUCUACUUCUACCCAAUGACUGAUUAAGAGACUAAGUUUUGUACUCUGCUCAUUGUGACCUUACGAAGGUCAAGCGGGGAGUGUGCUGUCUUUACGACAGUUAUUUAGUUUAUAAUAUUUUCGCUUAGUAAUUCAUUCAAUAGUAUUUUCUAGUUAGAAUUAGAAGUGUUUAAAGUGUAUUCAUUGCAUGUAAAAUAUAUCGGCAUGCGAUGACGUCACAUCCGGUUUCGCCGCGUCUUGUGGGAAAACACCGGUUUGAAAUUAGCGCGAGGGUGGGGGCUUUCCACGAGGCUCACCUGAGCACAAGCAGUUUUGCAGGCAUGAGAAAUCACAGUGAGAGCAACGCUUUUUCACCAUAUGUUAAUGUGAAGAGUGAACAGUAAAUGGUUAAUCUUACUGCGAUCUGGUUCUUAUUAACUGUGGUUUAUCCGGACGUU
RNA transcript from Hypanus sabinus (Atlantic stingray), 2873 nucleotides. RefSeq lists it as uncharacterized. The transcript has 2 exons. NCBI's taxonomy places the organism in Eukaryota, Metazoa, Chordata, Chondrichthyes, Myliobatiformes, Dasyatidae. The record is from RefSeq and is a predicted model, not a curated record.